UACGUAGGGGGCAAGCGUUGUCCGGAUUUAUUGGGCGUAAAGAGCGUGUAGGCGGCUGGGUAGGUCCGUUGUGAAAACUCGAGGCUCAACCUCGAGACGCCGAUGGAAACCCUCCAGCUAGAGUCCGGAAGAGGAGAGUGGAAUUCCUGGUGUAGCGGUGAAAUGCGCAGAUAUCAGGAAGAACACCGGUGGCGAAGGCGGGUCUCUGGGCAGUAACUGACGCUGAGGAGCGAAAGCGUGGGGAGCGAACAGG
RNAcentral lists this ribosomal RNA (253 nucleotides) under uncultured bacterium. RNAcentral's name for it is "partial 16S ribosomal RNA". It matches the Rfam family "Bacterial small subunit ribosomal RNA", at positions 524 to 776 of the family's 1533-position model. The record is from RNAcentral.